CACUAUUUAACGUAUACCGUGCAUUACACACUAACAUAUGCCAUACGAUGUGUGCACUGUAUAACACUUAGAUGGAAUAAGUUAGAAUGUUAUAGGUAAUCCGCAUUAUGUAUUCUAUGGACUACCUUACUGUCCUCAGUACCUUCUGUAUUCCGUACUAGGGCCGGGCGUCCUGGGAGAGAGGAGGAAGCCCUGCGGGCGGGAGUGGAGGCGCUCGCCGGAGCUGCGUCUCCCUAGUCAGACAGUCUCCCCGCCGGGCAGCAGAGGGCAGGCGUCAGCCGCUUUGGGUCCCCGGAGCCUCGGAGGGCGGGCCCGUGCCACGCUCCUCUCCCCGAAGCCCCCCGGGCUCUAGCCCAGCGCGGGGUUCGCUCUCCAAGGCUGGCCGGAGCUGGGAGGUCCCUCUGAAUAACGGCCUCGGCUUGGCCUUGGGGUCCCGAGUCCCAGGCCGGCCUGGCUUGGGCGGAAGGAUUUCGAGUACAAAGUUGGGCCGGCCUGGCCCGUCGGGGCUUGGCCGGGACCCGAGCCGGCCAGAGCCUCGGAGCUGGGCUGCAGGGCUUUACCCCGGGUGCAUGCUGAUCAGCUGGGCAGGGCUGUGUGGGAAGAAUGGGUCCGGCCUCCAGGUGGCCUCCGCUGGGUCCGGGGGUGCCGGUGCUGGUGUCCGGGUUCUAGACGGGUCUAGUUCGGGAUCGGGCUGGGUCCCUGGUCUCAGGCUGCACCGGCCUGCAGGGACAGAGCUGGGGGCCGGGCCCAGGGCUCAGGCCGGUUACUAGCUGAGGCUGGAUCGGGAGGGCGGGAGUGAGGCUGAGGAGGGCAGAGAGGAAGGCAGGGGCCGAGGGACUGGGUCCUCCCGGGCGGGGGAGGGGCCAGCUCUGGCCCGCUGAGUUGGACUGAGGGAGAGGGGGAGGGGGAGGGAGAGGUACAGGCUCUCCAGCCGCCCUAAGAGGCCCCCCUGCAGGUUCCUUGUGAUGAGCCUUGGAAGAGGCAGAAACUCCGAAGCUACCUCCUUCACUGUCCCAUCCAGCAGUGGGAGGGGAAGCCCAUCCAGCACUUGGGGCCCAUCCAUGCUCUGCUGCCCGUCCAGGUGGCCUACGCAGGCUCCAGGGAGUUCCAGGAUCGCCUUCUGAUUUUGUUUGCUGAGGACCUGGUGUUCCUGUCUCUGAGCUCGGGAGGCUCUGGCCUCAUCUACCAGGGAAAGCUCCCUCGGGCAGGAAUCCGGGCUCAGGAGAAGUCGGCCAUUCUCGGGAGGCUGGAAUUUGAAAUGACAGG
Monodelphis domestica (gray short-tailed opossum) is the source of this 1266-nucleotide non-coding RNA. The record is from RefSeq and is a predicted model, not a curated record. NCBI's taxonomy places the organism in Eukaryota, Metazoa, Chordata, Mammalia, Didelphimorphia, Didelphidae.